GGGUUCCGAGUUUUCAGGCUGGUUUGUUGACGCUGUCAACGGUUUGGCCGUAGCCGGGUUUGCGAGAGCAGCCCCCGAGCCUCUGCAUGGAGCGAGAGUGAAAGGGAAUUAGGCUUACACCUUUUUCCUAAUUGAUUUUGGUGGUUGAAUUGCCCAACACAAAUAAUUGGACUAACUAGUUUGCUCUAGUCUAUAAGUUCUACAUGUGCCAAAGGUUCACAAUAAGCCGAUGAAAAGACCAAGAAAGGGUUCAAACAAAGAGAGCAAAAGACAACCCAAAGGCACCCUGGUCUGGCGCACCGGACUGUCCGGUGUGCCACCGGACAGUGUCUGGUGCACCAGGGAACUCAACGAUGAACUUGCUACCUUCGGGAAAAUCAGAGGGCGCUCCGCUAUAAUUCACCGGACUGUCCGGUGAAGCACCAGACAGUGUCUGGUGCCACACCGGACUGUCCGGUGUGCCAGCGGACCAACGACUACUUCGCGCGCAACGGUCGACUGUAACGCAUUUAAUACGCGCCUGCGCGCGCAGAUGACAGAGCACGCGCAGUUGGCGCACCGGACAGUCUACAGGACCUGUCCGGUGCACCACCGGACAGCCCAGAGGCCCCACCAGUCAGAGCUCCAACGGUCGAACCCCAACGGCCUGCUGACGUGGCUGGCGCACCGGACAGUGUUCGGUGGCGCACCGGACUGUCCAGUGCGCCAUGCGACAACAGUCUUCCAACGGACAUAUUUUGGUGGUUGGGGCUAUAAAUACCCCAACCACCCCACAUUCAAUGGCAUACAAGUUUUCCACCUUCAACACAUUACAAGAGCUAUAGCAUUCAAUUUUAGACACAACCAAAGAGAUCAAAUCCUCUCCCAAGUCCGGAAUCACUCCAAAUCAAAUAGUGAUUAGAGAGAGCGACAUUUGUGUUCAUUUGAGCUCUUGCGCUUGGAUUGCUUCUCUUCUUUCUUAUUCUUCUUGUGAUCAAAACUCAAUUGUAACCAAGGCAAGAGACACCAAUUGUGUGGUGGUCCUUGCGGGAACUUUGUGUUCCGUUUGAUUGAGAAGAGAAGCUCACUCGGUCUAAGUGACCGUUUGAGAGAGGGAAAGGGUUGAAAGAGACCCGGUCUUUGUGACCACCUCAACGGGGAGUAGGUUUGCAAGAACCGAACCUCGGUAAAACAAAUCAUCGUGUCUCGCUCUUUAUUUGCUCACGAUUUGUUUUGCGCCCUCUCUCUCAGACUCGUUUAUAUUUCUAACGCUAACCCGGCUUGUAGUUGUGCUUAAGUUUAUAAAUUUCAGAUUCGCCCUAUUCACCCCCCUCUAGGCGACUUUCAAUUGGUAUCAGAGCCCGAUGCUUCAUUAGAGCCUAACCGCUCGAAGUGAUGUCGGGAGCAUCCGCAAGAGGGACAUCGGGACCGGCGAGAAGCCCGCCGCAAGCCAUGGGAAGGCUCCAUCCGGGGAGUCCGCCAACAAGGUGAAGGGAUCCCCUUCACACAACAAGUCGGGUCGGAGUGGUGACAAGAAGAAGAAGAUGAGGAAGGUGGUCUACUACGAGACCGACUCCUUGUCGCCAUCCACCUCCGGCUCCGACACGCCGUUCGUGACUUCUAAGCGCCAUGAGCGCAAGAAGUUUAGUAAGAUUCCCCUACGCUACCCUCGCAUUUCCAAACGUACUCCUUUACUUUCCGUCCCAUUAGGCAAACCACCUAUGUUUGAUGGUGAAGAUUAUAAUAUGUGGAGUGAUAAAAUGAGGCAUCAUCUAACCUCACUCCACACUAGCAUUUGGGAUGUUGUUGAGAUUGGAGUACAGGUACCAUCACCGGGGGAUGAAGACUAUGAUUCGGACGAGGUCGCCCAAAUCUGACAUUUCAACUCCCAAGCCACCACUAUACUCCUCGCCUCUCUAAGUCGAGAGGAGUAUAACAAAGUGCAAGGAUUAAAGAGCGCCAAGGAGAUUUGGGACGUACUCAAGACCGCGCACGAAGGAGAUGAGGUGACCAAAAUCACCAAGCGGGAAACGAUCGAGUGGGAGCUCGGUCGGUUCCGACUCAACCAAGGCGAGGACCCUCAAGCAAUGUACAACCGGCUCAAGGCCUUGGUGAACCAAGUGCGCAACCUCGGGAGCACAAAAUGGGAUGACCAUGAAAUAGUCAAGGUUAUUCUUAGAUCACUUGUUUUUCUUAACCCUACACAAGUGCAAUUAAUUUGUGGCAAUCCUAGAUAUACACUAAUGUCUCCCGAGGAAGUGAUAGGAAAUUUUGUGAGCUUUGAGUUAAUGAUCAAAGGCUCAAAGAAAAUCAUCGAGCUAGAUGGUCCCUCCAUGCCCGAAGCACAACCGGUCGCAUUCAAGGCGACGGAGGAGAAGAAAGAGGAGUUUACAUCAAGUAGACAACCCAUUGAUGCCUCUAAGCUCGACAAUGAGGAGAUGGCGCUCAUCAUCAAGAGCUUCCGCCAAAUCCUCAAGCAAAGGAGGGGGAAAGAUUACAAGCCCCGUUCCAAGAAGGUGUGCUACAAGUGUGGUAAGCCCGGUCAUUUCUUUGCUAAAUGUCCAUUAUCUAGUGAUAGUGACAGGGGCGAUGACAAGAAGGGCAAAAGGAGAGAAAAGAAGAGGUACCACAAGAAGAGGGACGGUGAUGCCCAUGUAUGCCGCGAGUGGGACUCCGACGAGAGCUCCUUCGACUCCUCCUCCGACGAGAACGCCGCCAACAUCGCCAUCACCAAGGGCCUCCUCUUCCCAAACGUCGACCACAAGUGCUUCAUGGCAAAGGACGGCAAAAAGAAAAAGGUGAAAUCAAAAUCCUCCACUAAAUAUGCAUCCUCUAGUGAUGAAGAUAAUGCUAGUGAUGAGGAGGAUAAUUUGCGUACCCUUUUUGCCAACCUAAACAUGCAACAAAAGGAAAAACUAAAUGAAUUAAUUAGUGCUAUUCAUGAGAAGGAUGAUCUCUUGGACUCUCAAGAGGACUUCCUAAUUAAGGAAAAUAAGAAGCAUGUUAAGGUUAAGAAUGCUUAUGCUCUAGAAGUAGAAAAAUGUGAAAGAUUAUCUAGUGAGCUAAGCACAUGCCAUGAUAAGAUUACCAACCUUAGAAAUGAGAAUGCUAGUUUAAUUGCUAAGGUUGAUUCAAAUGUUUGUGAUGCUUCAAUUCUCAAUCUUAGAGAUAAUAAUGUUGAAUUACUUGCUAAGAUUGAAGAAUUAAAUGUUUCUCUUGCUAGCCUUAGGAAUGAUAAUGAAAAAUUAAUUGCUAAGGCUAAAGAAGUAGAUGUUUGCAAUGUUACAAUUUCCGAUCUUAGAGAUAACAAUGAUAUUUUAUGUGCUAAGAUUGUUGAACUUAAUGCUUGCAAACCCUCUACAUCUACCAUUGAGCAUGUCACUAUUUGCACUAGAUGUAGAGAUGUUAACAUUGAUGCUAUUCAUGAUCAUACGACUUUAAUUAAACAACAAAAUGAUCAUAUAGCAAAAUUAGAUGCUAAAAUUGCCGAGCAUAACUUAGAAAAUGAAAAAUUUAAAUUUGCUAGAAGCAUGCUCUAUAAUGGGAGAUGCCCUGGCAUCAAGGAUGGCAUUGGCUUCCAAAAGGGGGACAAUGUCAAACUUAAUGCCCCUCCUAAAAGAUUGUCUAAUUUUGUUAAGGGCAAGGCUCCCAUGCCUCAGGCUAACGAGGGUUACAUUUUAUAUCCUGCCGGUUAUCCCGAGAGCAAAAUUAGGAGAAUUCAUUCUAGGAAGUCUCACUUUGGCCCUAAUCAUGCUUAUAUGUAUAAGGGUGAGACAUCUAGUUCUAGGCAAUCAACCCGUGCAAAAUUGCCUAAGAAGAAAACUCCUAUUGCAUCAAAUGAUUCUAAAAUUUCUUUUAAAACUUUUGAUGCAUCUUAUGUUUUAACUAACAAAUCCGGCAAGGUAGUUGCCAAGUAUGUUGGGGGCAAGCACAAGGGGUCAAAGACUUGUGUUUGGGUACCCAAAGUUCUUGUGUCUAAUGUCAAAGGACCCAAAACCAUUUGGGUACCUAAAAUCAAGAACUAAAUUUGUUUUGUAGGUUUAUGCAUCCGGGGGCUCAAGUUGGAUCAUCGAUAGCGGGUGCACAAACCACAUGACAGGGGAGAAGAAGAUGUUCUCCUCCUACGAGAAAAACCAAGAUCCCCAACGAGCUAUCAUAUUCGGGGAUGGAAAUCAAGGUUUGGUCAAAGGAUUGGGUAAAAUAGCUAUAUCACCUGACCAUUCCAUUCCCAAUGUUUUUCUUGUAGAUUCUUUAGACUAUAACUUGCUUUCAGUUUCGCAAUUAUGUAAAAUGGGUUACAACUGUCUUUUUACGGAUGUAGGUGUUACUGUCUUUAGAAGAAGUGAUGAUUCAAUAGCAUUUAAGGGAGUGUUAGAGGGUCAGCUAUACUUAGUAGAUUUUGAUAGAGCUAAACUCGACACUUGCUUAAUUGCUAAGACUAACAUGGGCUGGCUCUGGCAACGCCGACUAGCACAUGUUGGAAUGAAGAAUCUUCACAAGCUUCUAAAGGGAGAACACAUUUUGGGACUAACAGAUGUUCAUUUUGAGAAAGACAGGAUAUGUAGCGCAUGUCAGGCAGGAAAGCAAGUUGGUGUUCAUCAUCCACACAAGAACAUCAUGACGACUGACAGACCACUCGAGCUCCUACACAUGGACCUAUUCGGCCCGAUUGCUUACAUAAGCAUCGGCGGGAGUAAGUACUGUCUAGUUAUUAUGGAUGAUUAUUCUUGCUUCACUUGGGUGUUCUUUUUGCAGGAAAAAUCUCAUACCCAAGAGACCUUAAAGGGAUUCUUGAGACGGGCUCAAAAUGAGUUCGGCUUAAGGAUCAAGAAAAUAAGAAGCGACAACGGGAUGGAGUUCAAGAACUCUCAAAUUGAAGGCUUCCUUGAGGAGGAGGGCAUCAAGCAUGAGUUCUCUUCUCCCUACACCCCACAACAAAAUGGUGUAGUGGAAAGGAAGAAUCGAACUCUAUUGGACAUGGCAAGAACCAUGCUUGAUGAGUACAAAACUUUGGAUCGGUUUUGGGCCGAGGCGGUCAACACCGCUUGCUACGCCAUCAACCGGUUAUAUCUACACCGAAUCCUCAAGAAGACAUCAUACGAACUCCUAACCGGUAAAAAGCCAAAUGUUUCAUAUUUUAGAGUCUUUGGUAGCAAAUGCUUUAUUCUUGUUAAAAGAGGUAGAAAAUCUAAAUUUGCUCCCAAGGCAGUAGAAUGUUUUUUACUAGGUUAUGAUUCAAACAUAAGGGCAUACAGAGUCUUUAACAAGUCCUCUGGAUUAGUUGAAGUCUCUUGUGACAUUGUGUUUGAUGAGACUAACGGCUCUCAAGUAGAGCAAGUUGAUCUUGAUGAAUUAGGUGAUGAAGAGGCUCCGUGCGUCGAGCUAAGGAACAUGUCCAUUGGGGAUGUGUGUCCUAAGGAAUCCAAAGAGCCUCCACAAACACAAGAUCAACCAUCUUCCUCCACACAAGCAUCUCCACCAACUCAAGAUGAGGAUAAGGCUCAAAAUAAUGAAGGAGAAGAUCAAGAAGUUGAGCCACCUCAAGAGGAGAGCAAUGAUCAAGGGGGAGAUGCCCAUGAUCAAGAUGAGGAAGAUGAACAAGUUCCAAGACCACCACACCCAAGAGUCCACCAAGCAAUCCAACGAGAUCACCCCAUGAACACCAUCCUCGGCGAUAUUUAAAAGGGGGUAACUACUCGAUCUCGUGUUGCUCAUUUUUGUGAACAUUACUCUUUUGUUUAUUCUAUUGAGCCACACAGGAUAGAGGAAGCACUUCAAGAUUCGGAUUGGGUGGUGGCAACGCAAGAGUUGCUCAACAACUUCACUAGGAACGAGGUAUGGCAUUUAGUUCCACGUCCUAAUCAAAAUGUUGUAGGAACCAAGUGGGUCUUCCGCAACAAGCAAGAUGAGCAUGGUGUGGUGACAAGGAACAAAGCCCGACUUGUGGCCAAGGGGUAUUCACAAGUCGAAGGUUUGGAUUUCAAUGAAACAUAUGCACCCGUAGCUAGGCUUGAGUCAAUUCGCAUUUUACUUGCCUAUGCUACUUACCAUGGCUUUAAGCUUUAUCAAAUGGACGUGAAAAGUGCCUUCCUCAAUGGACCAAUCAAGGAAGAGGUCUAUGUUGAGCAACCUCCCGGCUUUGAAGAUAGUGAGUACCCUAACCAUGUAUAUAAACUCUCUAAGGCGCUUUAUGGGCUCAAGCAAGCCCCAAGAGCAUGGUAUGAUUGCCUAAGAGAUUUUCUUAUCACUAAUGGCUUCAAAGUUGGAAAGGCCAAUCCUACUCUAUUCACUAAAACUCUUGACAAUGAUUUGUUUGUAUGCCAAAUUUAUGUUGAUGAUAUUAUAUUUGGGUCUACUAACAAAUCUACAUGUGAGGACUUUAGUAGGAUCAUGACACAAAAAUUCGAGAUGUCGAUGAUGGGGGAGUUGAAGUACUUCUUAGGAUUUCAAGUGAAGCAACUCCAAGAGGGCACCUUCAUUAGCCAAACGAAGUAUAAUCAAGACAUUCUAAACAAGUUUGGGAUGAAGGAUGCCAAGCCCAUCAAGACACCCAUGGGAACCAAUGGGCAUCUCGACCUCGACACGAGAGGUAAAUCCGUCGAUCAAAAGGUAUACCGGUCGAUGAUAGGCUCUUUACUCUAUUUUUGUGCAUCUCGACCGGACAUAAUGCUUUCUGUAUGCAUGUGUGCAAGAUUCCAAGCCGACCCUAAGGAAGCUCACCUUACGACCGUAAAACGAAUCUUGAGAUAUUUAGUUCAUACUCCUAAGUUUGGGCUUUGGUACCCUCGAGGAUCCACAUUUGAUUUAAUUGGUUAUUCGGAUGCCGAUUGGGCGGGGUGUAAAAUUAAUAGAAAGAGCACAUCGGGGACUUGCCAGUUCUUGGUAAGGUCCCUGGUGUCUUGGGCUUCAAAGAAGCAAAAUUCCAUAGCUCUUUCUACCGCCGAAGCCGAGUAUAUUGCCGUAGGUCAUUGUUGCGCGCAAUUGCUUUGGAUGAGGCAAACCCUUAGGGACUACGGUUACAAAUUAACCAAAGUUCCUCUUCUAUGUGAUAAUGAGAGUGCAAUCCGCAUGGCGGAUAAUCCUGUUGAGCAUAGCCGCACUAAACACAUAGCCAUUCGGUAUCAUUUUCUUAGGGAUCACCAACAAAAGGGGGAUAUCGAGAUUGCUUAUAUUAACACCAAGGAACAAUUAGCCGAUAUCUUUACCAAGCCACUAGAUGAACAAACUUUUAACAAACUUAGGCAUGAGCUAAAUAUUCUUGAUUCUCGAAAUUUCUUUUGAUGAUUUGCACACAUAGCUCAUUUAUAUACCUUUGAUCAUGUCUCUUUUAUAUGCUAUGACUAACGUGUUUUCAAGUAUAUUUCAACCCAAGUCAUAGAUUGAAAGGGAAUUCGAGUCUUCGGCGAAGACAAAGGCUUCCACUCCACUCCAUUGACUCACUCAUCCUUCGCCGUCGCUCCGAGCAACUCUCCAUCUUUGGUAUAAUCUUCACUCAUAUUUUGUUUGCCAAAGGGGAGAAAGUAGUUACAAAAGGGCUUGUAUUUCACUCAAGUAUCCGUUUUUGGCGAUUCAUGCCAAAGGGGAGAAAGUAUUAGCCCAAAGCAAAAGGACCGCACCACCACCAUUUUUCAAAAUUUGAAGUUUUGAAAUAAUAAAUUUUCUCAAUUGGUAUCCUAUUUUUGAUAGAAUUUCAAAUUGGAACACCCUCUUCAAAAACUAAUAUCUAAAACCCUCUUGAAUACUAAGAGGAGGAUUUCACUAAGGGGGAGUUUUGUUUAGUCAAAGGAAAAGCAUUUGAAACAGGGGGAGAAAAUUUCAAAUCUUGAAAAUGCUUCUCAAAAUCUUAUUCAUUUACCUUUGACUAUUUGCAAAAGGACUUUGAAAAGAAUUUACAAAAGGAUUUGCAAAAACAAAACAUGUGGUGCAAGCAUGGUCCAAAAUGUUAAAAAUAUAAAGAAACAAUCCAUGCAUAUCUUAUGAGAAUUUAUUGGUUCAAUUCUAAGUAACCUUUGUACUUACAUUUUGCAAACUAGUUCAAUUAUGCACUUCUAUAUUUGCUUUGGUUUGUGUUGGCAUCAAUCACCAAAAAGGGGGAGAUUGAAAGGGAAUUAGGCUUACACCUUUUUCCUAAUUGAUUUUGGUGGUUGAAUUGCCCAACACAAAUAAUUGGACUAACUAGUUUGCUCUAGUCUAUAAGUUCUACAGGUGCCAAAGGUUCACAAUAAGCCGAUGAAAAGACCAAGAAAGGGUUCAAACAAAGAGAGCAAAAGACAACCCAAAGGCACCCUGGUCUGGCGCACCGAACUGUCCGGUGUGCCACCGGACAGUGUCUGGUGCACCAGGGAACUCAACGAUGAACUUGCUACCUUCGAGAAAAUCAGAGGGCGCUCCGCUAUAAUUCACCGGACUGUCCGGUGUGCCAGCGGAGCAAUGGCUACUUCGCGCGCAAUGGUCGACUGCA
RNAcentral lists this long non-coding RNA (8440 nucleotides) under Zea mays. Its description in RNAcentral is "long non-coding RNA (ZMAY_LNC004216)". The record is from RNAcentral. Lineage: Eukaryota; Viridiplantae; Streptophyta; Magnoliopsida; Poales; Poaceae.